This is a long non-coding RNA of Xenopus tropicalis (tropical clawed frog), 1773 nucleotides long. RefSeq lists it as uncharacterized. The transcript has 4 exons. The record is from RefSeq and is a predicted model, not a curated record. NCBI's taxonomy places the organism in Eukaryota, Metazoa, Chordata, Amphibia, Anura, Pipidae.
AGCUCUACUGCUCCAUGGGAUUUACCUCACUGAAGCAAACUGUCCUAAAUUAGUGGGCGGGGACAAAGGCAGAGCUGGAUAAGUCAGAAUCUUCUCUUAUGCACCAAUACCCUCCUUCCAUGUUGAGGAUCACGGGGGAGACAGGGAAUAUUGUUGGCCUCAAUGUCUUCAUGUCAUCAGACAAUAGGCGAAUGUCACCUUGGAAGAAUCCAAUCCUUCCUCCAUGACAGUAAACCACUGACUGUAGAAAGAAGAGCUUGGUGAAGGCUCUUUCCCGCAUCACAACAUACCCCCAUGCACUAAGUGAGGUUUGUGCAGAAUGGCUUUGCUAUGAUGGAUGUGGAAGAACUUGCCUGCCUGCAAAGAAAUCUGCCCUCAGCCCAACUGGAACACCAAAUGUGAGCCAGGUCUGAUUCCCGACAUCAGUGCCCAACCUUGUUAAUAUCUUGCAGCAGAAUGGAAGGAAAUCCCACCAACAAUUUUACAAUACUGGCCUUUAGGUUGGGGGGCAGGCAGUGGCAUCACUUGGGGUGGAGAAAUGGGCAGACUAGGCAGGGAAAUAGGUGUAUGAGGCAGAGCUGAAUGGAUUGGGGAAAUGGGCAGGUGACUGGGGGAAAUAGGCAGGGCAGAGGCUUACUUUAUUAUUUAAGGUGAUCAGAGACUGACACAGAACACUGUAAAUUGUGCCUCAAAGCAUUAUGUGUAAGAGGAGUAAUAUCUAUUAAUAUGGCAGUUUAAUAAGAUUCAUUAAUUGUUAAUGGUAACUUAUUAUGCAACAACAAAAAAGCUGCUGGUUCAGUAUUCAUUCUGGAGGAAAAGCACUAUUUAUUAGGUUUAUGAAGAGAAUUAGGUUAGGUGUAAUAUUCUCAUCAACCACUUGGUGACAGUGCAGAUCAUGUUUUUCAAUCUUGGGUAUUUAUUAUUUGUAGAUAAAUGAUAAAACACAUUUUGGGAGAAUCAAGCUUGUUAUCAUCAAGGGGCCAUUAUAUUUAUAAAAACAAAAACAGACAUUUAAAACAAAAUUUAAAAAAAUUGUGAAGCCUUUACUUUUUUGCACUUUUAUCAAUAUCCUCUCCCUAUGUUUCCAAGGUGACUGUCAAACACAGCUUGAAUGUUAUUUUUUUGCAAUUGUCAUUUGCCUAGACACAUGAUACAAAGCUAAGCCAAAGCUGUGGGUGGAACAGAGCAGAAAAGCUAAAGCAUCAAACACACAAGAUUCCAAUUAUUUACGCAAUUCCCUAGGGUGUUAGAAAGGCUACAGCCCCAUCUAUCAGGCAGCUGCAGGUCUUGAUGUUCACCUUGGGCCAAAGGUAUAAGCAUUUCUAGUAAUAAAGUACUUACCUGUGGUUCCACUGGUAAAACACACAAUAGAGAGAUCCUCUGGUGUGGGGGGCUAUAACAGAAAACAAUGAGGUUAUUCUAGAAAUCUGUGGAACUUGGAGAAUGCCAGUUUGCUCAGAUAAAGAGAUGCACAUAUACACUCAAAACAAGUCCUAGAACAAAUAAUGCCUUGUUAUGUGCCCAGAUGCUACACAGUGUUGAUAAAUUACCCCACAGACCUUAAUACGUUGCUGGAAAUGUGACUCAUAAACAGUCAAAGUAUAAAAAAAAAUUGUCUUCAUAAUAUAAAAAUAGCAAAUCUUUGUGCCAAACCCAUUGAAGCAAGAAGCUCAUGAACAAUUUAAUAGUGUUUUUUCAAGAGCAUUGAAAUCAAAGAGAAGCACAUUUAAUGGGCACAGCUAAUAAAUAAUGCAUGCCUACUAAAUAUCAACA